UGAUGGUUCCCAGCAAGAUGGGGGGCGGAGUAACAGCUCUUCCGCCCGCUUGAGCUGGUGUCUGGAACCCCGCGCUGUUCAGGGGCCGGCCGGCACCGCGGGGUUGCUCAUUUUCUUCACAGCCCCCAGGACGGAACAGAGCCGGUGGAGACAGGGCCGCGCGGGGGCGGGGAUCAGUCUCUCUCCCGGGGACACAGAUGCAACAGCAGCCGCCUUAUAGUCCUAGUUGGGGGAGAGGGAGACACAUCUAAUCAGAGGCAUUUCCAGCUACCUGCCUGUGAACUGGUCAAGUGUCAACACAGGCAAAGUUAAAACUGAUUUUUUUUCAACACCGUAAAUUACUUCUCCAGCUAGCCACUUCUAGUGCAGGAAAGGACAGGCUAGUAAUGAUUUAACUCAGCUAUGAUGACUCAACCAUCGAGUUAUAGCAUAAACUAGCUAAUUCCUCUUUAACAUAGUGUUAGACUGAGAUGUUAAAUGCACACACAAGUGAGAUUAUUUCAGUUUGUCAGGAAGAAGCCUAAAACUAUCGGAAGGGCUCCUGUAGUACCAAGGAGCAAUUGAGGACAUAGAGAGAACAAAGGAGCUAAAUCACUUCCUUGCAUCAGUUUUCAAAGGAUAAAGGGACUAUAAGGAAUCCAGGAGUACUAGAAUGAGAUGCAAUAUACAAUCAGAUUAGAAAUUGACUAAGAAACAAAAGUCACAGGUAGAAGUAAAAGGUGCAUGAGGAAGGCAGUGAAGUAUAAUGAAAUUCAGAACUGAGAGGAGGAAAGGAUAUUCACCUUCUUCCCACAUAUUUUCUUUUGGAAUGGAAGUUGAG
This is a long non-coding RNA of Mauremys mutica (yellowpond turtle), 820 nucleotides long. RefSeq lists it as uncharacterized. NCBI's taxonomy places the organism in Eukaryota, Metazoa, Chordata, Testudines, Geoemydidae. The transcript is spliced from 3 exons. The record is from RefSeq and is a predicted model, not a curated record.